GAUGAAGAAACGCAGUGAAAUGCGAUAAGUAAUGUGAAUUGCAGAAUUCAGUGAAUCAUCGAAUCUUUGAACGCACAUUGCGCCCGCCAGUAUUCUGGCGGGCAUGCCUGUUCGAGCGUCAUUUCAACCCUCAAGCCCAGCUUGGUGUUGGGGAUCGGCACAGGCGCCCUCGGGCGCCCGCCGUCCCCUAAAUCUAGUGGCGGUCCCGCUGCAGCCUCCUCUGCGUAGUAGUUUUCUCCUCGCAAGGGCAGCUCGGUGGCGACCUCGCCGUAAAACCCCCAACUUCUGAAAGGUUGACCUCGAAUCAGGUAGGAAUACCCGCUGAACUUAAGCAUAUCAAUAAGCGGAGGA
RNAcentral lists this unclassified non-coding RNA (351 nucleotides) under soil metagenome. RNAcentral describes it as "partial contains 5.8S ribosomal RNA, internal transcribed spacer 2, and large subunit ribosomal RNA". The stretch from base 1 to 121 matches the Rfam family "5.8S ribosomal RNA", at positions 35 to 154 of the family's 154-position model. The record is from RNAcentral.